Gasterosteus aculeatus aculeatus (three-spined stickleback) is the source of this 462-nucleotide long non-coding RNA. RefSeq lists it as uncharacterized. NCBI's taxonomy places the organism in Eukaryota, Metazoa, Chordata, Actinopteri, Perciformes, Gasterosteidae. The record is from RefSeq and is a predicted model, not a curated record.
UCGAACAGCCUCGUCCUCCUAAAGGUCCUGCGGUAGAAAGCCGUUCAUUUACGAAUAGCAACACAGCGCCAGCACUGCUAACAUGUCAGACAAGAAACAGACAGUGGACCUGGGCUUACUGGAGGAGGAUGAUGAGUUCGAAGAAUUCCCAGCUGAGGACUGGACGGGGCUGGAUGAAGAUGAAGACGCUCAUGUUUGGGAGGACAACUGGGAUGAUGACAACGUAGAGGACGAUUUUUCCAAUCAACUGAGAGCCGAGCUGGAAAAACAUGGUUACAAGAUGGAGACGUCCUAGCGGCUAACAAGGCCUUUCGGUAUUCGAUGACAUUCGAUAUGGACAUUUAUAUUUGAAUAUUACUGGUUGACCACACGCCACCGCAAACUUACUGAGGAUGUUGUUUGGUUGUUGUUGUUUUUUUGUAAGAAAUAUUGAUUGAAGUAAAAUGUUUGGAGAAAACUGUU